RNAcentral lists this ribosomal RNA (503 nucleotides) under uncultured bacterium. RNAcentral describes it as "partial 16S ribosomal RNA". It matches the Rfam family "Bacterial small subunit ribosomal RNA", at positions 28 to 507 of the family's 1533-position model. The record is from RNAcentral.
GACGAACGCUGGCGGCGUGCUUAACACAUGCAAGUCGAACGGUGAAGCGCUUUCCUUUUUGGUUGGUGUGGAUGAGUGGCGAACGGGUGAGUAACACGUGUGUAACCUGCCCCCUUCUUCUGGAUAACCGCAUGAAAGUGUGGCUAAUACGGGAUAUUCUGCGCCUGCUGCAUGGUGGGUGUGGGAAAGAUUGUGCCUUUGGGUGUUUUCGGUGGGGGAUGGGCUCGCGGCCUAUCAGCUUGUUGGUGGGGUGAUGGCCUACCAAGGCGGUGACGGGUAGCCGGCCUGAGAGGGUGGACGGUCACACUGGGACUGAGACACGGCCCAGACUCCUACGGGAGGCAGCAGUGGGGAAUAGUGCACAAUGGGAGCAAGCCUGAUGCAGCGACGCCGCGUGAGGGAGGGAGGCCUUCGGGUUGUGAACCUCUUUCGCCAGUGAAGCAGGCCUGCUCCUUGUGGGUGGGUUGACGGUAGCUGGAUAAGAAGCGCCGGCUAACUACGUG